AAUAUUUUUGUGAUGCAAGAUGCUGAAAUGCGUGAUGUUCAUGCAGAAUUUCAUGAAAUUUGGACAUUCGAGGAGAUCGUGACAAAAAUUCAGGUUUGUGAGAAACAUUUGAAAACAACAUUAUUCAUGCCCGAUUUUAUCUUUUUGCCGCGCGCUCCUAGAAUGUCCAAUCUCCAUCAAAUUUUGCAUGAACAUCACGCACAUGCGCAUCUUGCUUGCAAAAAGAAUUGAUUUUUUUUCUAAUUUUUAUGACAUUACUGUUCACCAGGCUCAUCUGAGCCUGGGCUGAGAGGUGGAUUAUCGGGUUCUCAAGAUCUAGUUAUCAGAGUUAUCUACCUUACUAUGCUAUUUUUGGUUACCAGGGUGCUAAUGUCACGCCCAAUAUGCGAUCCUAUUCGAGAGGAACUCGAAGGUUCCACCAAGGAUAGAGCCGCGUAUUGAAGACGCUUUUGCAAGGCUGAGAGGUGGAUUAUCGGGUUCUCAAGCUCUAAUUAUCAGAGUUAUCUACCUUACUAUGCUAUUUUUGGUUACCAGGGUGCUAAUGUCACGCCCAAUAUGCGAUCCUAUCCGAAAGGAACUCGAAGGUCCCACCAAGGAUAGAGCCGCAUAUUGAAGACGCUUUUGUAAGGUGGAUAUCAUUACAUCGUACCAUUACCUAAUGGAUGGGGGUACAUACAAAAGGCAUACAAAUACCACAUGAAUACAAUAACA
RNAcentral lists this long non-coding RNA (711 nucleotides) under Triticum aestivum (bread wheat). Its description in RNAcentral is "long non-coding RNA (TAES_LNC003123)". The record is from RNAcentral. Lineage: Eukaryota; Viridiplantae; Streptophyta; Magnoliopsida; Poales; Poaceae.